Molecule: non-coding RNA, 2118 nt
Organism: Podarcis muralis (Common wall lizard)
Lineage: Eukaryota; Metazoa; Chordata; Lepidosauria; Squamata; Lacertidae
Source: RefSeq, a predicted model, not a curated record
UCCUCCUCCUCCUCCUCCUCCUCGCUUUCCUUCCCUCCCGUCCUCGUGCUUCUUCUUCCCGAGCCCCCCGAGUCCAAAUCUGGGCUCCCACUUGUGCUUCCUAGGGAAAAGACUUUGGAGCGCAGAAGGGGACCCGCUCGGGCAGCUCUGCGCCUUGGCAUUUGCACAGAGAGGGAGCUGGUCGCGGGGCUGGGCUGGAGGGGGAGCCCCCUGAUCCCGCCGCCUUUUCCUCCCCCAAGUUCCGCGCAAAAGUUUUCCGGCGUCCCCGCCGGUCUUGCUUUUUUGUCAGCUCCCCCCCCCCCGCCCCUGCAAAGAUUGUCCGACGCUGCCGCAUGCGCGCUGGGGCUUCCUCUGUGCCUGUUUUGUGCGCGGCCAGGGUACCGUAUUGCACCGAGUCGAGUGUCACUCGAGAAAUUGCGAGAAAUCCCGCUUGGUCGGCGGGGUGCGGGCAGCUGGUAGCGGAGAACUUUUACCGUCGUGUUUGGACAUGAUCCCCCCUCCUCCUCUUCUCCCCCCGCCUUUAAACCCCCAACCAAGGUGCUCCGUAGAGUUCUUGCGUGGAUAGUACAAUUGUUCCAAGAUUAGGGUCGCUGCGAUUAAAACAAUAAUUUUGUUUUAUUUUUGUUUUUAUUCAAUACACCUUGUCCUUCUUUUUAUCAGUGCCGCCGCCGGAUCCACCCCAAGUCUGCUGCUGCCCUUGUCACUUUUCCUGGGCAAGUCUGCUCUCGAUGGUCUCCUUCGGCCUCUCAUGCCCACCGCUCAGUGCCGCCCUGCCGGCCAGGCCCUGCCGGCCUCUCUCUCCUCGGACCAAAGCCCUUUUCUGCGGGUUCCUCUGCGCUGGGUGGGACCAGCAUCAUGCAGCCCAGAAGAGGGAACCUGGGGACAUUUCUGUGCUUGGAGGGGGAGUCUCUCUCCCCCGCCCCCCUCUCGUUCUCCAGGGUCAAAAACCACAGUCGGAUCCUUCAAAGUGUGUGCGAGAGUGUAAAGAAGAGAGCCAUCUCCUUACCUUCUCAUCCCCUCCUUCCUGCAAGGCGUGCAGCCUGUGUGUGUGUAUGUAACCAACAAAGGUUAUUCUUCCUCAAGCUCUGAACCUUCCUCACGUGAGAUCGGGGGGAUAAUAUCAGUUCCAUAUAUCCUCUCCUACUUACCGAAAUCCAUCCAACGUGUGUGUGUGUGGGAAGGAAUCCCCGUGUAAGGGGGUGCGUGUGGAGCCUUUCCAGCCGAGCGAAAGGCACCCGAAAGUCCGAGAAGUCACUAAAGGGACCCGGAAUAGCGAAGCUCAGCCAGUGGCUUCUCCUCGCCGCUGCCGGUCACAAACCUCCCAAGGCUUGCCUUUGGCCGGCUGCUGUCUCCAAGGUGCUUCGCAAACGGUGGCGGACGCUUGAGUUAAAAGCGGCACCUUAAAAAGUCGUGGGGGUUGUGUGUUUGGGAAGAUGUGGGAGGAUGCUCCCCCAUUUAAAAAAUAAAAAAAGGUAAACUAUGCCUUACAAGUGAAUCUGUCGCUCCUCCUGUGUGCAAAGACUGGCGCGGGAGGGGUCAUUCCAAGCAAGGCUUGCUCCGCAACUUGUGAAUGAAUUUUGGAAUUGUGCCCAAGUGUGGCUAGCAGUGAAAAGCAAUUUUAGGCUGACAAAGACACCAUCUUCCACGCACGUACAUGAGCGUUCAGACUCACCGACCCUGAAGGGGCAGGUUUUCAAGGGAACCUUUUCAGCUGCUGAAUGAUUGUGCUGAAGAAGGCUGCAACUCACCUAGGAGUAAGCGCCACUGAGCGCAAAAGGAUUUACUCCCGAGUCGACCUAUCGCAUUGCACUGCCAAUCGGUUUUCAUGCGAAGCGCACCCACCACAACUAGUCAACAAUAUAAGCAGUUAUUCCAGAGAGUUUAGGUAGAUGUUUAGGCGGGCAUCAAGACCGAGAAAUUUAGAAAGUUUUUCGCAGGCUGUUGUUCUUCUGGGUUGCCUUAGGCGUUGAUCCUAAACCCGUGACUUGUAAGAAUGUCCACCCGGGGAUCCUAGCGAAAAUCUCCAAGUGUGUUUGAUAUCCCCUCCGCCCCAAGGAAUAGGUUGUGGAUGUGAAGAGUGUGCACUUGAUCUUGUAUUCUAAAGCUACCAUUCCGUUA